RNAcentral lists this ribosomal RNA (253 nucleotides) under uncultured bacterium. RNAcentral's name for it is "partial 16S ribosomal RNA". It matches the Rfam family "Bacterial small subunit ribosomal RNA", at positions 524 to 776 of the family's 1533-position model. The record is from RNAcentral.
UGCGAAGGGGGCUAGCGUUGUUCGGAAUCACUGGGCGUAAAGCGCACGCAGGCGGAUCGAAAAGUCGGGGGUGAAAGCCCGGGGCUCAACCUCGGAAUUGCCUUCGAUACUGUCGGUCUCGAGUCCGGGAGAGGUGAGUGGAAUUCCUAGUGUAGAUGUGAAAUUCGUAUAUAUUAGGAAGAACACUAUUGGCGAAGGAGGAUCAUGGGCUCGGUACUGACGAUCAGGUGCGAAAGCGUGGGGAGCAAACAGG